Molecule: RNA transcript, 2415 nt
Organism: Solanum dulcamara
Lineage: Eukaryota; Viridiplantae; Streptophyta; Magnoliopsida; Solanales; Solanaceae
Gene name: K(+) efflux antiporter 6-like
Exons: 20
Source: RefSeq, a predicted model, not a curated record
AUGACAAUAGUACACUUUCUUGUACUCCCAAACUCACUCAACCACCGCCGGCUUCCCCCGCUCUCUCUCUCUCCCCGUGUUUGCGCAAAACGUAAACGUAAAGGAUCUCAAUGUCGAUUGGAUAACUUCCAACAGGGUGCACUUUGGCACCCUUAUUCCUCUCUCUAAAACCCUAACCACAUUUUUUCUCUCUCUAACUCCGCAAUGCCAAUGCGAGGGCUCUGCUUUCUCCUCGUUCUCUCCUGUUUUUUUGUCGUCUUCUCUUCUGCUGAUCCGAUACCUGGAGACUCAGAAAAUGCCGUCGUUGUCAAUGCUGCUGAAUUUAAUUCCUCUUCCGUUGCGAGAUCUGAGGAAGGUAGUUUUGCCAACAUGAUUGAUCGAGCUUUGGAAAAGGAGUUCAAUGAGACCGAAGAGCAGCCCGGUGCAAUUGAUCACGGGAGCUUCAACAGUAGUGUCGCAGAGCAAGAGGCAGUUCUGGAAACCGUUGCUAGGGUUGGUAGGGUCAUGUUCAAGAAGAAUGAGACAAAUGAAGAAAAGUCAUUCCAGUUGCACACUGUUUUCAACCUGGAUAAUGACAAUGGAGCAGAAGAUACACCUACUUUGAUAGAUCGAAAGGAUAAUGUCUUUAUCAUGUCUAAUCCGAAGUCAAAGUUUCCAGUGCUGCAGCUAGAUUUAAGAUUGAUAUCUGAUCUGUUUGUUGUCAUUGUUUCUGCAACUUGUGGUGGCAUUGCCUUCGCUUGCGCUGGACAACCGGUUAUCACUGGAUAUUUGCUGGCAGGCUCAAUUAUUGGACCUGGUGGUCUUAACAUUAUCAGUGAAAUGGUGCAGGUUGAAACAGUUGCUCAAUUUGGUGUUAUCUUUCUUCUCUUUGCAUUGGGUUUAGAGUUUUCCACAGCAAAGCUUCGCAUCGUUCGAGCUGUUGCAGUGUUAGGAGGGUCUCUCCAGAUAAUUCUUUUCAUGUGUUUGUGUGGAAUAACAGCCUCGUUAUGCGGUGGGAAAGCAUCUGAGGGUGUUUUUGUUGGUGUCUUCUUAUCAAUGUCUUCGACUGCAGUGGUGUUGAAAUUUUUGAUGGAAAGAAAUAGUGUUAACACCCUCUAUGGGCAAGUAACGGUUGGAAUCCUUAUUCUCCAGGAUUGUACAGUAGGUUUGCUGUUUGCACUGCUUCCGAUUCUUGGUGGUACUUCUGGUGUUUUUCAAGGAAUGGCUUCCAUGGCAAAAUUAUUGGUGGUUUUGCUGAUGUUCUUGACCAUUUUGUCGAUGUUAUGCCGCACUUGCGUACCUUGGUUUCUUAGACUGAUGAUAGGCCUAUCAUCACAGACUAAUGAACUGUACCAACUUGCAUCUGUGGCUUUCUGCUUGCUUGUUGCUGGGUGUAGUGAUAAGCUGGGUUUAAGUCUCGAACUGGGUUCUUUUGCUGCUGGAGUGAUGAUAUCAACUACUGACCUGGCUCAGCAUACUCUUGAACAGGUUGAACCGAUCCGGAACUUCUUUGCUGCUCUUUUCCUAUCCAGCAUUGGAAUGCUUAUCCAUGUUCAUUUUCUCUGGAAUCAUAUCGAUAUUUUGCUGGCAGCUGUUAUAUUGGUCGUCAUCAUAAAAACUAUUGUGGUUGCUGCAGUUGUCAAGGGUUUUGGUUACACCAACAAAGCUGCACUUCUUGUUGGUAUGUCUCUGGCUCAAAUAGGGGAGUUUGCAUUUGUUCUUCUCAGUCAUGCUUCAAAUGUUCAUCUAAUUGAGGGUAAAGUGUAUAUGCUGCUUCUGGGAACAACUGCACUUAGCCUGGUUACAACACCGUUACUUUUCAAGCUAAUUCCUGCUGUAGUUCAUCUUGGAGUUCUACUGCAAUGGUUUUCCCUUGAUAUACCAAAUGAGAUUGGAUCUAAAGGAGAUAUCAUGCGUGCAGACAGUUCUAAGUGUAUUACUGUGCUGAUCCAAGGCCCUCAUGAUUCAUGAUAAUAAAUAGAAACAUGAACAGUAAAGCAAUUCUCACACUUUUACUUGAUGGCAUUCUUAUGCUGGGCGAUAGGUGCCCAAGAGUGCAAAGGCUGUUGAUUGAUUGGAUGAUUGAUCAUCAUGAAGCUCCUUUUAUGCAGCAACAUCAGAUCGUUUUGUUUGAUAUGUGGGAAACUUGUCGCCAUAUGCAGAGCAGUGUAUAGAUCUGUCUGCAAACAUUUUUCUGGCAUUUGUUUCCGGUAUGGUGUUAAUGGACUACUCUGUACAACCUCGUCCAUGUGUAUUGCAAUUGUUUAUAUUCUUUGAUCUCUAGUUUGAGUUUGUGGAAUUAGUGUCUAAAUCAUUUUAAGUUUCAAGUUGAUAAGUGUAAAUAGCUGAUAGUACAUGCUGUUAAAGAAUGUUUAGCGUAUGAAGUCUUACUUUACUGUAUACAGUUGAUCUAUGACCUCCAAUUGUUUCACUAAA